ACUUUUCACCCACACUACUUUCAUGGUCUCUUUUUCACCCUUAACUUGCAGAGGAAUCAGUUUUUAAAAGUUUUGCCAACUAAACAGUGUUACUAAGAAACCCUAAACCCUCUGAACCGUGGCCAGCCCUGUAGGUAAAACCCUCCUCACGGUUCCUUCUCUGACAAGACCAGACAGGCCACGGCCCAGCCCCUCCCUUCCGCUGCCUGCUAGCUCGGUCCCCUCCUAUCCACCUGAAGUGCCAGAUGUCCACAAGCCCUUCAACGUGCAGUGCUUCUGUGAAAAGAAGGGAAGAAAGGAGCCCAGGAUGCUGUGGACUUAUCUCCUUCCUGUCGCCCCUUCCUGCUCCCCUCUCUUCCGGUCAGGGGGAAUCCGCAGGCCGGCGCAGCCUGGGCCCUGAACUGCAGCCAGGCGAACCCCUGCGCUGCUGCUCCGCUCCAGCUGGAAGGAAUUUGUUCUGCUGAUAAAAGAGAUGUGAAGAUACAGAAGCCACAGACACCCAGAGAGAAGAGUGACAAAGGCUGUACGCGUGUAGUUCACCAUAUGCAAAUUGAAGUCAAAAAUUUCUGUGGGAUUCGAAAGAUGUGGAGGAGAAAUUUGUCACAAUAUAAUGAUGCCCACUUUUCCACAACUAUCAUAAAACAGUGACUUACGAAGUCCGUUGAAUCUAUCAGGUGACUGUCUAAGGGUAACUGACUCAUACCUUGGCGUGUACACCUUUCGGAGUGUGAGCUAUACUCACUGGUGACAAGGAGCAAACUGAUAUUACAAUAAAAUUGUACCGACUUUAAAGUAGUAUCUUUUGUUGGAAUCGCUAAAUGAU
RNAcentral lists this long non-coding RNA (823 nucleotides) under Fukomys damarensis (Damara mole-rat). RNAcentral describes it as "lncRNA (ENSFDAG00000031451.1)". The record is from RNAcentral. Lineage: Eukaryota; Metazoa; Chordata; Mammalia; Rodentia; Bathyergidae.